Molecule: long non-coding RNA, 299 nt
Organism: Chiroxiphia lanceolata (lance-tailed manakin)
Lineage: Eukaryota; Metazoa; Chordata; Aves; Passeriformes; Pipridae
Exons: 3
Source: RefSeq, a predicted model, not a curated record
UUUAGAAAGACUUGGCAGCAUUUCAACAACUGAAAGAUGAAGCCCAUUCAAAUCGCUGACAGUAAGUCCUUGUUGUCAUUACUGUUAUCAUCAGUAGUGCAGAAGGAAGCAGCACAAGGAAGCAGGUUUUUGCAGCAUGAGUGGAUGACACUAAAAUAAUGGCAGUGUACCAGAACAUAUUCAGGGAACUGUGGUAUGACUAGUCACUAGAAGAUGUUAUGUUUUUCAAAGCCAUUCCCCUUCUUUCACCUGUUGGUUCAGAGUCUGAGAGGAGACCUACAAAAAACCCUUUCAAAACA